GACGAACGCUGGCGGCGUGCUUAACACAUGCAAGUCGAACGGAAAGGCCCUGCUUUUGUGGGGUGCUCGAGUGGCGAACGGGUGAGUAACACGUGAGUAACCUGCCCUUGACUUUGGGAUAACUUCAGGAAACUGGGGCUAAUACCGGCUAGGAGCUCCUGCUGCAUGGUGGGGGUUGGAAAGUUUCGGCGGUUGGGGAUGGACUCGCGGCUUAUCAGCUUGUUGGUGGGGUAGUGGCUUACCAAGGCUUUGACGGGUAGCCGGCCUGAGAGGGUGACCGGCCACAUUGGGACGGAGAUACGGCCCAGACUCCAACGGGAGGCAGCAGUGGGGAAUAUUGCACAGUGGGCGGAAGCCUGAUGCAGCAACGCCGCGUGCGGGAUGACGGCCUUCGGGUUGUAAACCGCUUUCGCCUGUGACGAAGCGUGAGUGACGGUAAUGGGUAAAGAAGCACCGGCUAACUACGUG
Molecule: ribosomal RNA, 468 nt
Filed under: uncultured bacterium
Lineage: Bacteria
Description: partial 16S ribosomal RNA
Rfam family: Bacterial small subunit ribosomal RNA
Source: RNAcentral